RNAcentral lists this ribosomal RNA (154 nucleotides) under Urtica sp. Lixinhui-1102. RNAcentral's name for it is "5.8S ribosomal RNA". The stretch from base 21 to 154 matches the Rfam family "5.8S ribosomal RNA", at positions 1 to 132 of the family's 154-position model. From Rfam's summary of the family: 5.8S ribosomal RNA (5.8S rRNA) is a component of the large subunit of the eukaryotic ribosome. It is transcribed by RNA polymerase I as part of the 45S precursor that also contains 18S and 28S rRNA. Functionally, it is thought that 5.8S rRNA may be involved in ribosome translocation. The record is from RNAcentral. Lineage: Eukaryota; Viridiplantae; Streptophyta; Magnoliopsida; Rosales; Urticaceae.
CGUAUUCAAUAAGUCAUAACGACUCUCGGCAACGGAUAUCUCGGCUCUCGCAUCGAUGAAGAACGUAGCAAAAUGCGAUACGUAGUGUGAAUUGCAGGAUCCCGUGAACCAUCGAGUUUUUGAACGCAAGUUGCGCCCGAAGCCUUUAGGCCGA